UGAGGAAUAUUGGACAAUGGAGGAAACUCUGAUCCAGCCAUGCCGCGUGAGUGAUGAAGGCCUUCGGGUUGUAAAGCUCUUUCGGGUGUGAAAAUGAUGAUGGUAACACCAGAAGAAGCCCCGGCUAACUCCGUGCCAGCAGCCGCGGUAAUACGGAGGGGGCGAGCGUUGUUCGGAAUCACUGGGCGUAAAGCGUGCGUAGGCGGUUAUACAAGUCAGGAGUGAAAUCCCAGGGCUCAACCUUGGAAUUGCUUUUGAGACUGUAUGACUAGAGAUCUAGAGAGGUUGGGGGAAUUCCGAGUGUAGAGGUGAAAUUCGCAGAUAUUCGGAGGAACACCAGUGGCGUAGGCGCCCAACUGGCUAGAUACUGACGCUGAGGCACGAAAGCGUGGGGAGCAAA
This 400-nucleotide ribosomal RNA is filed under the name uncultured bacterium. RNAcentral describes it as "bacterial SSU rRNA". It matches the Rfam family "Bacterial small subunit ribosomal RNA", at positions 355 to 772 of the family's 1533-position model. The record is from RNAcentral.